This 244-nucleotide ribosomal RNA is filed under the name uncultured bacterium. Its description in RNAcentral is "partial 16S ribosomal RNA". It matches the Rfam family "Bacterial small subunit ribosomal RNA", at positions 111 to 354 of the family's 1533-position model. The record is from RNAcentral.
UAACACGUAAGCAACCUGCCUAUCAGAGGGGAACAACAGUUAGAAAUGACUGCUAAUACCGCAUAUACCUAAGUAUCGCAUGAUACAAUAGGGAAAGGAGCAAUCCGCUGAUAGAUGGGCUUGCGUCUGAUUAGCUAGUUGGUGGGGUAAAGGCCUACCAAGGCGACGAUCAGUAGCCGGACUGAGAGGUUGAACGGCCACAUUGGGACUGAGAUACGGCCCAGACUCCUACGGAAGGCAGCAG